GUGAAUCAUCAAAUUUUUGAACGCAAAUUGCUCUCUCUGGUAUUCUGGAGAGUAUGCCUGUUUGAGAGUCAGUUUAAAUAAAAAUCGGUGUGGUCGCUGCCUUUCGUGGUGACGCACCGGAUGUGGGUCGUCUUGCUUUCGGUUAAGUUACCUAAAAUUUUGCAUGAUUUUUCGAACGUAUUUAAUGGUUUUUACGUACGUUUGCGAUAUCGCGAUUACUAGGUGCGG
RNAcentral lists this unclassified non-coding RNA (228 nucleotides) under Glomus sp. RNAcentral describes it as "partial contains 5.8S ribosomal RNA and internal transcribed spacer 2". The stretch from base 1 to 71 matches the Rfam family "5.8S ribosomal RNA", at positions 84 to 154 of the family's 154-position model. Lineage: Eukaryota; Fungi; Glomeromycota; Glomeromycetes; Glomerales; Glomeraceae. The record is from RNAcentral.